UAAUUCCUACGGGGCGCAGCAGUGGGGAAUAUUGCACAAUGGGGGAAACCCUGAUGCAGCAACGCCGCGUGAAGGAAGACGGUUUUCGGAUUGUAAACUUCUGUUCUUAGUGAAUAAUAAUGACGGUAGCUAAGGAGCAAGCCACGGCUAACUACGUGCCAGCAGCCGCGGUAAUACGUAGGUGGCAAGCGUUGUCCGGAAUUACUGGGUGUAAAGGGAGCGCAGGCGGGAAGCCAAGUCGGCUGUGAAAACUACGGGCUUAACUUGUAGACUGCGGUUGAAACUGGUUUUCUUGAGUGAAGUAG
This 305-nucleotide ribosomal RNA is filed under the name uncultured bacterium. RNAcentral's name for it is "bacterial SSU rRNA". It matches the Rfam family "Bacterial small subunit ribosomal RNA", at positions 333 to 654 of the family's 1533-position model. The record is from RNAcentral.